RNAcentral lists this ribosomal RNA (468 nucleotides) under uncultured bacterium. RNAcentral's name for it is "partial 16S ribosomal RNA". It matches the Rfam family "Bacterial small subunit ribosomal RNA", at positions 28 to 507 of the family's 1533-position model. The record is from RNAcentral.
GACGAACGCUGGCGGCGUGCUUAACACAUGCAAGUCGAACGGAAAGGCCCUGCUUUUGUGGGGUGCUCGAGUGGCGAACGGGUGAGUAACACGUGAGUAACCUGCCCUUGACUUUGGGAUAACUUCAGGAAACUGGGGCUAAUACCGGAUAGGAGCUCCUGCUGCAUGGUGGGGGUUGGAAAGUUUCGGCGGUUGGGGAUGGACUCGCGGCUUAUCAGCUUGUUGGUGGGGUAGUGGCUUACCAAGGCUUUGACGGGUAGCCGGCCUGAGAGGGUGACCGGCGACAUGGGGACUGAGAGACGGCCCAGACUCCUACGGGAGGCAGCAGUGGGGAAUAUUGCACAAUGGGCGGAAGCCUGAUGCAGCAACGCCGCGUGCGGGAUGACGGCCUUCGGGUUGUAAACCGCUUUCGCCUGUGACGAAGCGUGAGUGACGGUAAUGGGUAAAGAAGCACCGGCUAACUACGUG